GGGCAAGUGACGCAGUGGUAGCGUGUUCGCUUUGCAUCCUGAGCUUGCGAGAAGCCCUGGGUUCAAUCCCCAGCUUGUCCA
Molecule: non-coding RNA, 81 nt
Organism: Peniophora sp. CONT
Lineage: Eukaryota; Fungi; Basidiomycota; Agaricomycetes; Russulales; Peniophoraceae
Source: Rfam